GGGGUGCUGCCUGACGAUCACCCCAACUGUGUUGCUGCUGCCCGCUCCAGAGCUCUGCUCCAGUCUGAUGUUGUGGUCCUACUUGGUGCCAGACUCAACUGGAUCCUGCACUUUGGCCUUCCCCCCAGGUCAAUGUCAAGGUUGAUCUGUGUGCUGAGGAGAUGGGGAACAACGUGCAACCUGCUGCUGCUCUCCUGGGGGACAUCAAUACUAUUGUCAAGCAGGUAACACAACACAGUCCUGGGGGACUGGAGAUCCUGGUUUGAAUCCAGGCUCUGUCGUAGCCGGCCGCGACCGGGAGACCCAUGGGGCGGCGCACAAUU
This is a long non-coding RNA of Coregonus clupeaformis (lake whitefish), 323 nucleotides long. RefSeq lists it as uncharacterized. NCBI's taxonomy places the organism in Eukaryota, Metazoa, Chordata, Actinopteri, Salmoniformes, Salmonidae. The transcript is spliced from 3 exons. The record is from RefSeq and is a predicted model, not a curated record.